UGUGUUCACUAAUUAUGCUACUACAAAUGGGCUGAUUUCAAAUAAUUUUUAGAGUAGACUGCAAAUUUUGGUACCAUUUGCAAGGUCAUCAUAGCUUGUAACCUGUAACCCUAGAUGUUCCUUUAUUAAGGAACGUUUCAGUGACUGAAGAUGAGCGUCAAGGGUAGGGAAGAGCUCCUUGUCCUCUCUUUACGUGUUUGUGUCUCAAACCCCACUAAACACCACUGAAAUGAUGGUAGGUGCAUGGGUAGACCCCCCAGUGCAGAGUCAGGAGCCAGAGAAUAGCAUCCGCUGGUACAUCAGGGAGCAGUGGCUAUUUCUCCCAUGACAUUGUCCUCCUGGGUCUCUUCUCUCAGCUUCUUACCUUUUGUUUUAAGUAGAUGAUCACGCGGAAUGUAAUUUUUGGCCAAGCUCUACACAAUCGAUGAAGUUCCCAACGUCUUGUGCCUUUCUUG
RNAcentral lists this long non-coding RNA (455 nucleotides) under Bos taurus (domestic cattle). Its description in RNAcentral is "long non-coding RNA NONBTAT008135". Lineage: Eukaryota; Metazoa; Chordata; Mammalia; Artiodactyla; Bovidae. The record is from RNAcentral.